CAGCAGUAGCCACGGGAAUACGAAGGGUGCAAGCGUUACUCGGAAUUACUGGGCGUAAAGCGUGCGUAGGUGGUGGUUUAAGUCCGUUGUGAAAGCCCUGGGCUCAACCUGGGAAUUGCAGUGGAUACUGGGUCACUAGAGUGUGGUAGAGGAUAGUGGAAUUUCCGGUGUAGCAGUGAAAUGCGUAGAGAUCGGAAGGAACAUCUGUGGCGAAGGCGACUAUCUGGGCCAACACUGACACUGAGGCACGAAAGCGUGGGGAGCAAACAGGAUUAGAUACCCCUGUAGUCCCUGUCUCUUAUAC
RNAcentral lists this ribosomal RNA (304 nucleotides) under uncultured bacterium. RNAcentral describes it as "partial 16S ribosomal RNA". It matches the Rfam family "Bacterial small subunit ribosomal RNA", at positions 506 to 807 of the family's 1533-position model. The record is from RNAcentral.